AUACGGAGGGUGCGAGCGUUAGUCGGAAUUACUGGGCGUAAAGCGUACGUAGGCGGUUGGUUAAGUUAGAUGUGAAAGCCCCGGGCUUAACCUGGGAACUGCAUUUAAAACUGACGAACUAGAGUUGAGUAGAGGGGAGUGGAAUUUCAGGUGUAGCGGUGAAAUGCGUAGAGAUCUGAAGGAACACCAGUGGUGAGGGCGACUCCCUGGACUCGAACUGACGCUGAGGUACGAAAGCGUGGGUAGCAAACGGGAUUAGAAACCCUAGUAGUCC
This 274-nucleotide ribosomal RNA is filed under the name uncultured bacterium. RNAcentral's name for it is "partial 16S ribosomal RNA". It matches the Rfam family "Bacterial small subunit ribosomal RNA", at positions 523 to 796 of the family's 1533-position model. The record is from RNAcentral.